CAUUAAGAAGCUUUAGGACCAAGCGACAGCCUUUUAAGCUGUAGACAGGUGACUUCCAACCACCCUUAGUGA
This 72-nucleotide transfer RNA is filed under the name Dryophytes femoralis (pine woods treefrog). RNAcentral's name for it is "tRNA-Lys". The record is from RNAcentral. Lineage: Eukaryota; Metazoa; Chordata; Amphibia; Anura; Hylidae.